Molecule: microRNA, 23 nt
Filed under: Hevea brasiliensis (rubber tree)
Lineage: Eukaryota; Viridiplantae; Streptophyta; Magnoliopsida; Malpighiales; Euphorbiaceae
Description: hbr-miR6166
Source: miRBase by way of RNAcentral
AUUGGAUAACGGGAUUACAUGGU